AUGAGCAAGGCCCUGUCUACUUGGAAAAGCAAUGUGAAGAGAAUGAUCGAGAAAGGUGAGAGUUAUCAGAAGAUCAAGGAGAAAAAUCCUUCGAUCACCGAAGAUGACUACAACGACUUCAAGAUCAAUUGCUCGAGCACCGCAAGCUCCCAAUCAAGUGAGUGGGGGAAACAAAUGCGGGAGCUGAACAUAGGGGAACACACACUUGGUCCCGGUGGUUACAGAGUGGCGGAGCCUAUAUGGGACAAGGAGGAGGCGGACCGUGCCGAGCAAGGCCUACCGCCCCUCUUCGAUAAAUACGGUGACAAGCAGACCAGGAAUUUUGUCAGGGCCCGGUACAAGAAGGACCCGAAAACAAAGGAUCUUACCACGGAUCCAAAGACCAGGCAGCUUGAGCUUGUUCUGGUAAGGAAUACACCCCCGCGUAAUUAG
RNAcentral lists this ribosomal RNA (432 nucleotides) under Triticum aestivum (bread wheat). RNAcentral describes it as "partial small subunit ribosomal RNA". The record is from RNAcentral. Lineage: Eukaryota; Viridiplantae; Streptophyta; Magnoliopsida; Poales; Poaceae.